AAGACCUUGCGCUUUUGGAGCGGCCGAUGUCUGAUUAGCUAGUUGGUAGGGUAAUGGCCUACCAAAGCUUCGAUCAGUAGCUGGUCUGAGAGGACAACCAGCCACACUGGGACUGAGACACGGCCCAGACUCCUACGGGAGGCAGCAGUGGGGAAUUUUGGACAAUGGGCGCAAGCCUGAUCCAGCCAUGCCGCGUGAGUGAAGAAGGCCUUCGGGUUGUAAAGCUCUUUCAGCCGGGAAGAAAAGGCUACGACGAAUAAUCGUAGCUCAUGACGGUACCGGAAGAAGAAGCACCGGCUAACUACGUGCCAGCAGCCGCGGUAAUACGUAGGGUGCGAGCGUUAAUCGGAAUUACUGGGCGUAAAGGGUGCGCAGGCGGUUUUGUAAGUCAGAUGUGAAAUCCCCGGGCUUAACCUGGGAACU
RNAcentral lists this ribosomal RNA (423 nucleotides) under uncultured bacterium. RNAcentral's name for it is "bacterial SSU rRNA". It matches the Rfam family "Bacterial small subunit ribosomal RNA", at positions 207 to 622 of the family's 1533-position model. The record is from RNAcentral.